UACGGAGGGUGCAAGCGUUGUCCGGAUUUAUUGGGUUUAAAGGGUGCGUAGGCGGGCUAAUAAGUCUGGUUUGAAAGUCAGCGGCUCAACCGUUGAGGGUGGCUGGAUACUGUUAGUCUUGAAAUUGUUGGAGGCAGCCGGAACGGAUCGUGUAGCGGUGAAAUGCAUAGAUAUGAUCCAGAACACCAAUUGCGUAGGCAGGCUGCUACGACUGAUUUGACGCUGAGGCACGAGAGCAUGGGGAGCAAACAGG
Molecule: ribosomal RNA, 253 nt
Filed under: uncultured Nibrella sp.
Lineage: Bacteria; Pseudomonadati; Bacteroidota; Cytophagia; Cytophagales; Spirosomataceae
Description: partial 16S ribosomal RNA
Rfam family: Bacterial small subunit ribosomal RNA
Source: RNAcentral